This is a non-coding RNA of Physella acuta, 130 nucleotides long. The record is from RefSeq and is a predicted model, not a curated record. NCBI's taxonomy places the organism in Eukaryota, Metazoa, Mollusca, Gastropoda, Physidae.
GUGAUACUGUAUCAGCCUUGAUUUUUAAGUAAUAAAAACAAUGGUUAUUAUUGUCACCUAUAGAAUGUAGUGGAUCUUGCCGACAUUGUUUUAGUUAGAGUCAAAACAAUGUGCGAUUGAUCCGUACAAA